Molecule: unclassified non-coding RNA, 219 nt
Filed under: uncultured Thelephoraceae
Lineage: Eukaryota; Fungi; Basidiomycota; Agaricomycetes; Thelephorales; Thelephoraceae
Description: sequence contains ITS2
Source: RNAcentral
ACACCUCAACUCUUCAUGGUUUUCCAUGAUGGGCUUGGACUUUGGGGGUCUUGCUGGCCUGCGGUCAGCUCCUCUCAAAUGAAUCAGCUUUCCAGUGUUUGGCAGCAUCACGGGUGUGAUAACUAUCUACGCUUGUGGUUUUCUGCCAGGUAAUCCUCAGUGAUGGGGAUUCGCUGGGGCUCAUAAACGUCUCUCCUCAGUGAAGACAGCUUUGUGAAC